This is a long non-coding RNA of Argentina anserina (silverweed cinquefoil), 936 nucleotides long. RefSeq lists it as uncharacterized. The transcript is spliced from 4 exons. The record is from RefSeq and is a predicted model, not a curated record. Lineage: Eukaryota; Viridiplantae; Streptophyta; Magnoliopsida; Rosales; Rosaceae.
UUAUCCUCAAACUUGAAUUUCUCUCUAUCGUUCUCUGGUUCUUUGGUUAUAGAAAAUCCCAAACACUAAAUCCCUACUCCAACUCUCUUCGAGUUUGAUGAGGAAGGAGUUCGACGAGGUGAAUUCCCUCUCUAUCUCUGUCUCUCACAUUUGCUUUCAAAUAUUUUCACUUAGAAAUCGAUUGGGUUUUCAAUUGGGUUUCUACUCCAGAAUGAGGUUGUUUUUGUAGUCUGCUGAUAGAUCCAAGGAAGACCUAGUUAGCCCGCCAUCACAUGAAGGCCGUCUCCCGCCGCCUCCGUCACUACGGUUCGUUCUUCACUCAAAACCAUACGUGUCUUUGAACUGUUUUCUUUGAUUUUUGGGCUGGGGCACGACGAUAUGCACUACGAUUUUGAUAUCAAGGAGGCUCUGAAUCGGCUACCCAGGUAGAUUUCGACGCCCACAACCAGCGUCUCAAGCAUGCCAUGGACCUCUUCAUGAAACACGAGUACCUCCCUGAAGAUCUUUAGGUACUGAAUUUGAUUAAGAGGGUGAACUGCAACUAAGGAAAUUUAUCCCCGGUCGAAAGAGAAAAUUUGGAUUGAUCGAUCUUUAUGUGCACAAUUAUCCGGUGAAGAAGAACAUCCACUUCACUGCUGCGAUUUUCAGGAGAGAGACUGAUGUGUAGUCUGAGACUCCUGUGGGAAAGGAGAGAGAUUGAACAACUGCCACAUCAACAACGUCAACAUCCAAGCGCCUGAAGAUCUACCAAGAGUGCCUACUGCAGUACCAUUACCAAUUACAUCUGGAUCAAGAAGAAUAGCGAAAACUAGCCUAGUGUAAAAGAACUUUUAUUACAGUACAACAGAAUGGCAUUUACAAUAAACAUCCAAGUGUAGUUCAUGAAUCCUGACUAAAAUUAUUUUGUUUUUUUUUUGUCAAACUAUUAUCCAAAAU